ACGUGAAUUCCUGUGGAGCCCUUCUGAAUACUGUCAAGAAUUUUUGGUGAAAGAUCCAUCAUGCUACAAGCCAUUAGCACUCAAAAGGUGGACAAGGGGAUUUCCUGCUCCUUCAAAGAACAGACAAGAGUGGAAAUGU
Non-coding RNA from Lonchura striata (white-rumped munia), 139 nucleotides. The record is from RefSeq and is a predicted model, not a curated record. Lineage: Eukaryota; Metazoa; Chordata; Aves; Passeriformes; Estrildidae.